Pipistrellus kuhlii (Kuhl's pipistrelle) is the source of this 485-nucleotide long non-coding RNA. RefSeq lists it as uncharacterized. The transcript has 3 exons. Lineage: Eukaryota; Metazoa; Chordata; Mammalia; Chiroptera; Vespertilionidae. The record is from RefSeq and is a predicted model, not a curated record.
UGAAAUAUGCUGAAUUUCCUCAUUUUACUACUCUAGGUUGUCAGUGAAAUUAAUCUGGAGAGUCCUAAAUGCAGGUUAUGUGACUUGCCCUUAGGGACAAGCCUUGGACUUUUCUGCCUAGCACCCCAGAGCCAGUGCCCUUUUCGCCUUUGCUUUCCUCAUUCUGUGGAAGUGCUCAGAAUGAAGAAGGGAGCCAUUGAACAGCUCUGGGAAUGCCUUACCACACAGUUUCAGCUGUGCUCUGAUAGCAAGAGAAGGGGUUUGGAGAGAGAAAGCUGUUUUUGAGUUUCAGUUCUGCCACUUCCAGCUCUUUGUGCACUGGCAGUCUUUUCCUGGUCACAGAGAUGCAGUGAUGGCUCUUUUCUGAGAGGACAUAUAUUAUCUGCUUUCUUUUGCUGUGGCACAGAUAGUUCAUUCAUAAGCAUGGCUGUUUGGGCUAAAUCUUGAUUUUUCCUGGAGUAAGCUGGAUAUUUUUCCUGUGGCUC